RNAcentral lists this ribosomal RNA (253 nucleotides) under uncultured bacterium. Its description in RNAcentral is "partial 16S ribosomal RNA". It matches the Rfam family "Bacterial small subunit ribosomal RNA", at positions 524 to 776 of the family's 1533-position model. The record is from RNAcentral.
UACGGAGGGUGCGAGCGUUGUCCGGAUUUAUUGGGUUUAAAGGGUGCGUAGGUGGCCCGUUAAGUCCGGGGUGAAAGCCCACUGCUCAACAGUGGAACUGCCCUGGAUACUGACGGGCUUGAGUCCAGACGAGGUUGGCGGAAUGGAUGGUGUAGCGGUGAAAUGCAUAGAUACCAUCCAGAACCCCGAUUGCGUAGGCAGCUGACUAGGCUGGUACUGACACUGAGGCACGAAAGCGUGGGGAGCGAACAGG